GUCUUAGCCAAUUCCUACAGCAGGCUAGCUGCAAGGCAUCAUGGGAAGAUAUAGACAAGCCGCUCAAGUCCUAAUAUAGCAAGUGAGUCUCCUAGAAUAGGCAUAGAGCAUGAUCUGGCAGCUUCCCAUCUGCCGCUGAAAAAAGCUAAACGCAACAAAAAACAAAACAAAGGCAGGGGCUAUCUUGGUGCUCAAGGAGAAGAAUCUGGAAGACCUUCCCUCGACAUUCACGAGCAAACAUUGCUUCCAGUAAGUGGCUCACCCCCUGAUCAAGUGACUCAGCUUCUCCGAUUGCAGUCUCAGCGUCAUCCAACGGGGACAGAUAUGGAGGCCUGCUGGGCCCCAGCCCUGCUUGGCUCCCCCGAGAAUGAGUGGCCUGCAGUGGAAAAUUUCCUGUGUGGUGUUGCUGUUGGCUGCCCUGGAGGAGUCAGGGGCCUGGCAUCGACCCACCCCACAAACUCUGUGCAGACUUGAGGCUUGAGGAACGGGCCCACAGAUCGACAGGAAGAGGAAAGUCUGAGUUGAAAGGCACCAAGAAUCACUCCUGGGCUGGCUGGCUGAAGGCUGCAUCUUCAGAAGACACUGGAGCAGGGUGAGAAAACAGACUUCUUUUUUUGAGACAAAGUCUCGCUAUGUAGUUCAGGUUGGCCUUGAACUCAUUAUGUAAUGCUGAGUGACCUCAAACCCAUGGAGAUUCUCCUGCCUCAGCCUCCUGAGGCUGGCAGUACAGGCAUGCACCACCCUAGCCAGCUAAGAUCUUU
RNAcentral lists this long non-coding RNA (761 nucleotides) under Cavia porcellus (domestic guinea pig). Its description in RNAcentral is "lncRNA (ENSCPOG00000032134.1)". Lineage: Eukaryota; Metazoa; Chordata; Mammalia; Rodentia; Caviidae. The record is from RNAcentral.